GUUCCGUCCCCUCCUCGCCCCGGCCUGUAACUGCUGCGGGGGCCGCUUUCUGGGCCCGCCCCUCCAGGCCAGGAGCCUUUUUCAAAAUGUGGCGGUGGCAGGGAAGGUUGUCUGCUCCAGAGGCUUCCCUAGAGUGAAGAGCUCUACUAUGUAUGCUUUAUGCGGCAGAAGGAGUGCUUUGGAGGAGUUUUUAAAUUUGUUUUUUUUUUAAAUCUUAUCGGUUUUAAUUGUAGCAAUGAUUCAAGAAACGUUAGUAGGUGCCCAUAACUUCGGUGGUGGAGAUCCAAAAGUGAACAAGACAGUGUUCUGGCUGCUAAAUUCUUCUUAACUGGUUAUGCCUGGAGACCUUCACUUGGUUCUGUGCCAGCACUGCCCAUGAACUUCAUAGACUGUGAUCUUUGCUAAGGCCUAAAUGAAUGAAGUGCAGGUGCAGGACCGGAAGCAGAAGACAGAAAGUGGAGACCAGAUGUUUGAAGCUGGGUAAAGGCAGGGAUGGAGCAGGAACCGAGGAACAAACCUUGGAACUAGUCUUCACACCAGCAAGAUUCCUUGGCACCUCAAGGUUUGAAGAACAACUACACAACAAAAUUCACUCUAUUCUGGAUGAUGAUGGUCUCCCAACUCAGGUUUAAAGGGCAAUCACUUUCAAAUUAACUGGACAAUCACUCUCACUCUGCCCCAGAGAAUCACUUUUGAAACAUCAAAACACCUAUUUUGGCUCCCUUUUAUGGUACCUUGUCAUUUAAAUCAUACAAAAUGUUACAAAUACAGAACUGUCCAUGUAUGUUUUUAAUAG
This 796-nucleotide long non-coding RNA is filed under the name Homo sapiens (human). RNAcentral describes it as "HSALNT0280171". The record is from RNAcentral. Lineage: Eukaryota; Metazoa; Chordata; Mammalia; Primates; Hominidae.